Molecule: non-coding RNA, 101 nt
Filed under: uncultured Prevotella sp.
Lineage: Bacteria; Pseudomonadati; Bacteroidota; Bacteroidia; Bacteroidales; Prevotellaceae
Source: RNAcentral
AGAGAAGGUCUCUCGGUGUCGGUGUGCAGGCACUGGCAUCAAACCCUCUGCAAGCCGCUGCAAUCGGAAACGUUGCGGUGGUGAGCGUUGCAGAGAGGUAU